GCUGCUGCUGCUGCUGCUGCUCCUGCUCUUUCAGGCUGCCUUCGACUUUCGCAUCGCCUUACAUGAUGGAAGAGUUCGACUUUGAGCUGUGCCAACUGAAUAGACACACGACUGAAUGUCGCCGCACUAGCAAAAGUUACCAGAACGAGCAAGAAGAGAGAGAGAGAGAGAGAGGUAGAGAUUGAGUGAGAGAGGGGGGCGCUGCAACAGGGCUGGCAGCGGAAGGGGAUCUGCUUGGCGUAUGUACAGAUGCCGAGACAAGGACAAGACAUGGCAGUCAACUCUGCAGAAAUGUCUAAAAAAAAAAAAGUUCGUACAAGUUUACUUUCUUUU
Molecule: long non-coding RNA, 333 nt
Organism: Drosophila navojoa
Lineage: Eukaryota; Metazoa; Arthropoda; Insecta; Diptera; Drosophilidae
Source: RefSeq, a predicted model, not a curated record